AUGGCAGAGGUGCGAAAUUGGUCGCUAUGUUUUGAGUAUGUACCGAACGGAAGCCUCGACAAGUAUAUUACUGAUGCAUCUCGUGGACUUGCAUGGAGGGAGCGCUACAAGAUAAUCAAGGGAAUAUGCAUGGGCUUACUUCAUCUUCAUGAGAAACACAUUCUUCACUUGGAUCUGAAGCCUGGUAAUAUAUUGAUGGAUGAUCACAUGGUACCCAAAAUUGCUGAUUUUGGUCUAUCAAGGUGCCUUGAUACAGAACAAACCCAGACUUAUACUUCAAACCCAUGUGGAUCGAGCGGAUAUUUGGCACCAGAAUCCUUUGCAGGGAAACUCACAUUCGCUUCAGACAUAUACAGUCUUGGCAUUAUCAUCUUGGAAAUAUUGGCAGGGAAGAAGGGGUGUCCAGAAGACGAGGUUGUAAGAACAAUUUAA
RNAcentral lists this ribosomal RNA (432 nucleotides) under Triticum aestivum (bread wheat). RNAcentral's name for it is "partial small subunit ribosomal RNA". Lineage: Eukaryota; Viridiplantae; Streptophyta; Magnoliopsida; Poales; Poaceae. The record is from RNAcentral.